Megalobrama amblycephala (Wuchang bream) is the source of this 1120-nucleotide long non-coding RNA. RefSeq lists it as uncharacterized. NCBI's taxonomy places the organism in Eukaryota, Metazoa, Chordata, Actinopteri, Cypriniformes, Xenocyprididae. The record is from RefSeq and is a predicted model, not a curated record. The transcript is spliced from 4 exons.
UAAGGGACAUAAGUUUGAACAAUCAACCUUAUAUUAAUUAAUUUUGUGAUAAAUACACUGAACUGUAUGUUGUAGACACUUAGGCACCUCCAGGCAUAAAAAGACUGGAUUUUCUUAACAUUUUGUAUGGUACCGUUAUUUACUUUCAUCAAAACAUGUUCAUUAUUUCAUUACAUAUAAUGCUUAUUAAAUCACUAUUUAAUGUUCAUUCACAUAACAAGAAAUGUCAUGCAUUCUGUAUGUUUUAUAUAUCUUCACAGCAGACCCACUGGUUCAUGGACACCAGGUUGAAAAGUCUGUGAAAGAUCUCAUCGAAACACAUCAUGUGGUCGCAAUAAAGCUGGAUGUGCAGAUCCUGAUGUCAUUGUACGGGAUUGAGGGGCGUGAACAUGCAUCAGAACGUCUCUUUUCGUGUUCCCCGGAAGUCGCUUGCGUUUGGAACGACGUGAGGCUGAGUAAACGAUGACAGGAUUUUCAUUUCGGCGGCUAAAUCCAGCCUGCCAUAUUAACCGGCCGAGAGCACAAGUGAAGCACUUAAUCUGCCAUCCUGAAUCGAGUGCACACGAGCGGACAGGUACCAGACUCCCUCCUGAAGCACAAGAGGGCGGAACGGGGCGGAACUGGGAUCCGGGAGCAGUCGAUACUCGCGGCAGGAGGACUGAAGCCAUUAUAGUGUAAAGUUGCUGUUUGCAAAGUCCCUCCAGCGGAUGUUUUUCUCUAUAUCAGCGUCAGUGUUUCUGAAACGCCUCCAUUGUAGUCUUGAGUUUUCUUCCGGAAACGAACACGUCACAAUUUAAAUAAUUCAUACAGUUGUGGCGUGAACUCUGCUAUUCAUGUACAUUUAGAACAAUUUUAUAGACAUAUACGGUUAUAGUUAUGAUCUGUGGUGCGAACGGGACGUGUCUUUCUAUCUGUCUGGGAGUGGAGGACUCAAUUAAACAUGUUGAGCUGAGAGAAGACUGGACGUUAUAAAUGGCGGACAUUUUGAAACGUAAGAAAAUGGCGUUUAGUGAUAACAAUGCAACAGCUUUUUCACCUUUCAGCAACUCACAAAUGUAUCACAACUGAGACUCGACUUGAUUUGAGUGGAGUUUGACAACAAAAUGCUGUAAUAAAAACA